UAAAAUUAUGUUUUGGGAUGGAAACGAAAUUUCCCAAAUUUAAUUGGAAAGGGGCGGAACAAUUUCUCCAAAACAAACAUUUAAGUGAUGGCCCAAGCCCAACCCACUUCCCCGAGCCCCAUAAUCACUACCGCCUUGCCCUUGUUGUAUCAGAACAACUUGCUGAAGCACCCAACUCAACUUUCUGCAAAAACCAAAACCUCGCGCCUUUGCGGCGGCUUUAAUCUGCCGCGGGUGCAGAAACUGUGUGAAGAAAUUUCAUCUUUUCCUCUUUCCAUUUUAUUUUAAAUGAUCUUAGUUCUUUGCAAUCUUCAUUGUAGCGAGCGCGAAACCGCGAUUUCAGCGAGUCGCGCCGUGUUGUUCUCGUGAAAUGCACGAGGCAGCCGCAAGCGCCGCAUCUGUCAUCUCUGCAGCGGCAGCGCCGCCGCCACGAUUAACUACGAACUACGUCUACUGUUUAAAAAACUCUGAUAUUGCUACUCUCUUUUAAUUAAAUUACGAUAUAGAUGCUUUUUCAGUGUUUCAAUAAUGGGUAAUUAGGUUUACAAUUUCACUUUUCACUCUUUUAAUUUGGAAUCAACCAUUGGUUUCUUUCACGUUUGAAAAUUUGUGAUGUAAUAAUGUGUUGGUUGCUUCUGCAGUGUGAUGAUCCUUGUUGCGUGAAACUUCGAAUUCAUUCACAACAAACCGCUUUGAAAGAGGGUUUUUUUGCUUGUAAGCAUAAACAUGUCUGCUUCUUUGUCCCAAAGAGAAGAACAAAUAGAGAAUGUUUCGAAUAGAACCAUUCCCAAAGUGCUAAUCCAAUGUGAAGAAUGCAAAUCUAACCCCUCAAAGUACAAGUGUCCAGGUUGCUCGAUACAAUCGUGCAGUCUUCCUUGUGUAAAAGCUCACAAAGUUCGGACUGGGUGUAAUUCCCAAAGUGCUAAUCCAAUGUGAAGAAUGCAAAUCUAACCCCUCAAAGUACAAGUGUCCAGGUUGCUCGAUACAAUCGUGCAGUCUUCCUUGUGUAAAAGCUCACAAAGUUCGGACUGGGUGUAAUGGCAAGAGGAACCAGACUCAGUUUGUUCCUAUUACACAGUUUGAUGACAAUAUCUUGUUAUCUGGUACUUACUCUUUAAACUGUGUUAUGUUAUGCCUUUGAUCUUGAGAACAUUUAUGUAACACAGACACUUCGGAUUGAAGGAAUGUCAAAUGUUUGACACAAAAUUGACACAUGUUUUUACCUUUAAUAACUCAUUUUUUAAAAAUUGUUACUGCUGUCUACAUAUUAGUGUCGGUGUGGUAACGUAUAAGUGUCGGUGUGGUAUCCGGUAUCCUUGUAGUAUGUAUCAGUGCUUUAUAGGCUUUUUUUUAGUUGGAGUGAAUGAACUUAUUCUUCUUGUUUGUGUUAUCCUUGGAGAUAAGGUAAAGGACCAUUCAUUUUGGGUUCCUUUGGAUAUUUUUACAUUAGUACUUCUUAUCUUAAAUUCAAUGUUCUUUUUUGGAUUAUUUUAUUUAGCACAUUUGAAUUUUACUUUUUUUAAUUUUCCAUGCUUCUUGUUAUUGUCCUUUCCUCCAUGUAGAUUAUAAUUUGCUGGAGGAAGUGAAGAGAGUGGCUGAAGUUGCUUCGAGAACAAGAACAAAGUUAGGCAUGUCUACAUAUCUUAAGUUGCCUCAUCCCCUCAAAAGCCUGCAAUAUGCUGCUAGAAGCCGGAGCACAAAACUAUUGUUUCUGCCUAAUGGAAUGUCAAAAAGAGAGAAUAAUCAAUCUCGAUUUGACGAUAGGUAUUAUCAUCUUUCAUGACAAACAUUUGUUGUUUUAGGAGGGUGGUACAUACAUUAGAGAAAUUUGAACAUACCGCUAUUUUUUGCGAUCUGCUCCAUAUUUAGAUUAUUGAGGUGAAAGCUUUUGUUUCAAAUAAAGUACAAAUAUGUUUAUGCUUUACUUUCAGGAAGAAGUCUAUACAUUGGACAAUAGAAUGGCGUUUUCACCUGACAAAUAUUGUCUUACACGACCACGGGUAAGCCAUUUAUAUGAUGUGCCUUAUCUUGUUACAUGCUUAAGAAUUUAGAGAAUACAAUUUUGAAAGAAUGCUACACUCAUUUCUUCCAGAGUUCAUGAAGAUACAAGCUUUUGCACCAUUCUAGAGAAGCACCUCAAACCAGGUCCUUGGAAUCAUCAACUAAAGGAAUUUUGUGAUGACCAGGAUCAUCUCAAGCUCUUCAUUCGUAAAUAUCCAAAGGUGUUUUUCUAUACUUUUUAUGUGGUAGAAAUGCAGUAUAAAAGCUAGUAGAAUUUUAGGGUAUGUUUGGAUAGAGGAUUUUUCAGGGGAAAGGAUACUUAUAUGAUCAUCUCAACCAUGUUAUUCGUUCAAUAUAGAUUUAGUCCUCCAAACUUUCCAUCCAAACAUAUACCCUUAGUAAUUGAUUGACUACAUCAAAGUUGACUUUAUUUUACUUAUAAAUUUCAUCUUGUUUAUGUUAAUAUAGGGUCCCAAGUCACCCUUCAAAGAAUUGGAUAUAAAAGCACCAAUCAGACAACAAUUGAAAAAUGUAGUCAUUUUGGAGUAUCCCGUUGUUUUUGUUUUCUUGCCGUCUCACACUAUCAAUUUCGAAGUUAUUAAGAAUGUCAUUCCUAGUAUGCCUAAAUCACCGCAGAAAGAUAGUGAAGUUAACCUAAUACCAGAAGGUGUAUCGUUCAGGGAAGAGGAGAUUGAAGAUGACAACAGCUUUGAUGAUCCUAAGGUUUUUGAUCUUAUAAAGCAUUCAGAAUCAAGUCCAUCACAUCAAGUGCUUACUGAAAAUAUUCUUUCCGAAAAAGCACCAAAUGAUUCAUUAGAUAUACCAGUGUUUGAAGGAGACGUUGAGAGAAAUCUUUCGCCCUCAUC
Molecule: long non-coding RNA, 2867 nt
Filed under: Lathyrus oleraceus (garden pea)
Lineage: Eukaryota; Viridiplantae; Streptophyta; Magnoliopsida; Fabales; Fabaceae
Description: Pisum sativum (pea) long non-coding RNA (PSAT_LNC002227)
Source: RNAcentral